ACGGAGUAACCCAAUGGUCUAACUCUAGAGGAUACAUAUUUGCUUCUUCAUUUGAUUUAAUUCAUUUUUGCUGAUCAAUUCUUUUACUAUGAAGGAUUCAGAUUUUGUGAAGUAACGUUCAAUAUGAUUGAAUUACAAAAGAAAGAGAAAGAGGAUGCUAAUGGAACCAAAAAGCAGAAAAACACAACGGAGAUAAAUCUGAAAAGGACCAAGGGGUAUUUGUUAGGGGGAGUCCAAAAUGCAAAGUGGACAAACAAAGGAGAGCAAAGGGAGUAAUUCGAAACUUCCAUUCAAAGAUGGAAAAGAUGCAGAUUAUCACGUGCAACAAGGAAUAUGAGAGUAUACAAUGAAAAGUUCAAAUACCGUUGAAUUCACCAUUAUGUCACUCGAUAAAAAUCAAGAGAAAAGUUGUAAGGAGGUGAUAUAGAAUGAGAGACCUAAAGAAUAUAAUGAAAGCAUAAAUGAAAAGGAGCAAAAUGAUUCUCGAGAGGAGGAACCACUUGAACAACUACAACAAGAAGAAGACGAUAUCAACAGUGAGUGGGAGCAUAAUAAUAUCACAAGUAACAAUAGUCUCCCGGAUAAUACUGAUCAUAUUUGAAAAUACAACAUCACCAAUAUUGGUUCGAAACAUCCCACAAUUGAUGAAAAAGAUCAAAACUACUACCGCUUGAUGCAAGGUCUACCAAGGAGCACAAAAUUCCGCUCCAUUAUUAACAUAUACAAGCAUACAAAGAGACUCGCAUCCCCUGAAGAGGAAUAUAAUUGGAGUCGUCCAAGUACUUUAGAGAAUCAGAAAUCCAAAGUACACAAUGAAAGCAACACAAGAAAGGAUCAAGUAAACACUUUCGAGGAGAUAGUACCUGACAAACAAAAACAAAAUUUAUACUGGUGAGCCUAAGCUCAACAAAGUAACAAGUGAAGAUAGUCUUUCGAAUAAUUCUGAUUGUUUUAAACAAUAAUGACAUCAAUUGUGGCUCAAAACUUUUGACAAGAGAUGAAAAUGAAGAAAACUAUCGUAUCACGCAAGGAAUACCUAGAACUUUAAAAUUUCAUUCCAUCAGCGAGCUCUACAAGUGUACUACUAGGCUCUCACCUGUUGUUGAUGAAUAUAAUUGAAAUCUUCUGAGGUGAUUACUACUUUUGUCCAUAAAAUUUUCCUUACAAAAAUAAUGAAUUGGCGUGCAUUUUUAUUGACAAUCAGUUUCGUCACUACUUUAUCGAGCAUUUUGCGACAAAUCAUUAUUUGUCUUUAAAUUUAUUUAAGUUUCGAUAAGAAAUAUGUCAUUUGUAUUCUAAGAAAAGAAAUUCAUGUAGGAUAAGUAUGGUUCUCAAGUAGGAAUCUAAGAAAAAUUAUGUAGCUGUACAAAUAUCCCUACUGUGUACGAAAAUAAAUAAUGAGAAAAGCCACAAUUUCUACCUCUAUUUUUUGUUGAAUAAUUUUUCAAAAUUAUUCUCUACAAUUUUGUAUUGAGUGAAAUAUGAAUUUCAACAAUGCCAACGCAUAGUUUUUUGGAAUUCAUAUUUCGAGGACACAAUCCUUAUGAGUUUUAUGCUUUCUUCCAUGACUUUUUGUUUCUUAAGUUUGGGUGAGCUAGGGCUUGUCCUAAGCCUCCAUCGAAGUUAGUAGAGGCAUUCUUAGACCAUGGUUAUGUAGUUCCGGCUAUUCUGAUGUUAUGUUUUGAGGUUCCUCUUCUAUUGAGAUUGCUAUGAUAAGAUUUAUCUUUCGCAUUUAUAA
Long non-coding RNA from Solanum dulcamara, 1738 nucleotides. RefSeq lists it as uncharacterized. NCBI's taxonomy places the organism in Eukaryota, Viridiplantae, Streptophyta, Magnoliopsida, Solanales, Solanaceae. The transcript has 8 exons. The record is from RefSeq and is a predicted model, not a curated record.